UAUUUCAGAGUCAAAAAUAGUUCAGAUUAAGGAAAAGACACCAGUUUAGUCAAUUUACUGAAAGCCAUACAGCUUUGGAAACGACUUGAGGGUUAAAGUUCCCUUCCAAAAUGUAAAAGGAUGACCACUGUGUAGUCACAAUUAACCAGCAUCAUGAGUUCGGAGAGCACGUUGGGCCUGUUCAUGCCGCUGUUGUUCCUGCUGACUCUGGCCUUGGUUUUGUUCUCGUG
Sinocyclocheilus grahami is the source of this 230-nucleotide long non-coding RNA. RefSeq lists it as uncharacterized. Lineage: Eukaryota; Metazoa; Chordata; Actinopteri; Cypriniformes; Cyprinidae. The record is from RefSeq and is a predicted model, not a curated record. The transcript has 3 exons.